UCCGUUUUCGCGUCUCAACCUCUCCUCUCACAGCCUUGAGCCACCCGUCUCCCUCCGCUUUCCCCUCUUCCUCUCAGCUCGAAGCUUGUCCGCUCUCCUCUCAAAUCUCAUAUGCUAAACUCGAUUCCUUUCAAAUCUCAUAUGCUAAACUCGAUUUGGGCAGGAACGACCUCAAGCUCAUAGCAAUUUCGAUUUGUGCUAUGAGAAUGUCUACUCUACCUUUCCUCUUCAGGUCCAUCGAACUGACAUCACACCAUGGUGGAUUCAAGAUAUUUGGCAGCAGCUCGUAGAUGCUGUUCAGCAUGAAGGGGUCCCAAAGAAUGAACUGAAAGGUGGAGGCACAAAAGCAUUUCCAUGUGGAUGGUAGCCCAGAUAGUAACCUGCCAUCUGAAUUUGAUUUUGAUGAGGGAAUGUUUAUCUAGAGAAGUUUUCUGAGGAUGUGACAGCACCAAGAGGUCGUAUCAAGAUUUGGGUACCUGUGGAGAAUCGGACUCCAUGUAGUUAGGCUCGUCAGCCAUUGGGGGGAUCGCCUGAGAUGCCCCCAUGUAGUCGGCACUGAUCUCGUCAGGCAUGGAGAGAAUUGGCUGAGAUGUAAUUUUUGUGUAGAUUGAGAUACAAUUGGCUGAGAUGCAAUUGUUAUGUAGAUUGAGAGAAACGAGAAGAAUACUAAUCUAGUUACCCUUCCGUAUUAGAUGCUAAUCUGAUGGAACCACCUAUCGAAAUUGGCGCCAUUUUCCUGUGUCUAA
Long non-coding RNA from Panicum virgatum (switchgrass), 746 nucleotides. RefSeq lists it as uncharacterized. The record is from RefSeq and is a predicted model, not a curated record. The transcript has 4 exons. Lineage: Eukaryota; Viridiplantae; Streptophyta; Magnoliopsida; Poales; Poaceae.